UACGUAGGGGGCUAGCGUUGUCCGGAAUCAUUGGGCGUAAAGAGCGUGUAGGCGGCUCGGUAAGUCCGCUGUGAAAGUCCAGGGCUCAACCCUGGAAUGCCAGUGGAAACUGUUGAGCUAGAGUCCGGAAGAGGCGAGUGGAAUUCCUGGUGUAGCGGUGAAAUGCGCAGAUAUCAGGAGGAACACCAAUGGCGAAGGCAGCUCGCUGGGACGGUACUGACACUGAGACACGAAAGCCAGGGGAGCGAACGGG
This 253-nucleotide ribosomal RNA is filed under the name uncultured bacterium. Its description in RNAcentral is "partial 16S ribosomal RNA". It matches the Rfam family "Bacterial small subunit ribosomal RNA", at positions 524 to 776 of the family's 1533-position model. The record is from RNAcentral.